UCGGGUGCCUGUACGUCAAACGUCCUAAUAAGCCGGGGUACUACAAGCUUACCUUAAAACCCCUAGGACUUGACGGACCCCCACCCGCCUCAAAGACCCUGUUCUGAACCCGGUGAUCCACCAUAAACCCCCCCCCUUUUUGCUCCACCCCCGGUAUACCGCCCUCUUCAGCAAACACAUAAGCCAACA
RNAcentral lists this ribosomal RNA (189 nucleotides) under Microhyla ornata (ornate rice frog). RNAcentral describes it as "partial 12S ribosomal RNA". The record is from RNAcentral. Lineage: Eukaryota; Metazoa; Chordata; Amphibia; Anura; Microhylidae.